AGUGAACGCUGGCGGUAGGCCUAACACAUGCAAGUCGAACGGCAGCACAGUAAGAGCUUGCUCUUACGGGUGGCGAGUGGCGGACGGGUGAGGAAUACAUCGGAAUCUACUUUUUCGUGGGGGAUAACGUAGGGAAACUUACGCUAAUACCGCAUACGACCUACGGGUGAAAGCAGGGGAUCUUCGGACCUUGCGCGAUUGAAUGAGCCGAUGUCGGAUUAGCUAGUUGGCGGGGUAAGGGCCCACCAAGGCGACGAUCCGUAGCUGGUCUGAGAGGAUGAUCAGCCACACUGGAACUGAGACACGGUCCAGACUCCUACGGGAGGCAGCAGUGGGGAAUACUGGACAAUGGGCGCAAGCCUGAUCCAGCCAUACCGCGUGGGUGAAGAAGGCCUUCGGGUUGUAAAGCCCUUUUGUUGGGAAAGAAAAGCAGCAGGUUAAUACCCCGCUGUUCUGACGGUACCCAAAGAAUAAGCACCGGCUAACUUCGUG
This 492-nucleotide ribosomal RNA is filed under the name uncultured bacterium. RNAcentral's name for it is "partial 16S ribosomal RNA". It matches the Rfam family "Bacterial small subunit ribosomal RNA", at positions 29 to 507 of the family's 1533-position model. The record is from RNAcentral.